RNAcentral lists this long non-coding RNA (233 nucleotides) under Daucus carota (carrot). RNAcentral's name for it is "long non-coding RNA (DCAR_LNC004071)". Lineage: Eukaryota; Viridiplantae; Streptophyta; Magnoliopsida; Apiales; Apiaceae. The record is from RNAcentral.
UUUAUUAGUUGCAUUCAUGUAGUUGCACUCCAUGCUUGUGUUCUUGUGGUCAUCUAUAUUAUUAUUACAUGAGCUAGAUGGAUUUUGUGGGUACAUUCGCUAUAGGCCCUCACGAGACCUUACUCGUCCACUAGGGCUGCCUAGGGGUUUAAAGGGCUUGUUGCAUAUGCCAAAUGCAACCGUGAUCACCUACGAAAGUGGUAUAUAUCUAUUAGGUGUAAGUUUUAUUUAUU